RNAcentral lists this ribosomal RNA (460 nucleotides) under uncultured bacterium. RNAcentral's name for it is "partial 16S ribosomal RNA". It matches the Rfam family "Bacterial small subunit ribosomal RNA", at positions 338 to 795 of the family's 1533-position model. The record is from RNAcentral.
CCUACGGGUGACAGCAGUGAGGAAUAUUGGUCAAUGGACGAGAGUCUGAACCAGCCAAGUAGCGUGAAGGAUGACGGCCCUAUGGGUUGUAAACUUCGUUUAUAGGGGAAUAAAAUGUGCCACGUGUGGGAUUUUGUAUGUACCAUAUGAAUAAGGAUCGGCUAACUCCGUGCCAGCAGCCGCGGUAAUACGGAGGAUCCGAGCGUUAUCCGGAUUUAUUGGGUUUAAAGGGGUCGUAGGUGGCUUGUUAAGUCAGUUGUGAAAGUUUGCGGCUCAACCGUAAAAUUGCAGUUGAAACUGGCAGUCUGGAGUACAGUAGAGGUGGGCGGAAUUCGUGUUGUAGCGGUGAAAUGCUUAGAUAUCACGCAGAACUCCGAUUGCGAAGGCAGCUCACUGGACUGCAACUGACACUGAGGCUCGAAAGUGUGGGUAUCAAACAGGAUUAGAUACCCUUGUAGUC